This 362-nucleotide ribosomal RNA is filed under the name Hoplobatrachus rugulosus (rugose frog). RNAcentral describes it as "partial 12S rRNA". Lineage: Eukaryota; Metazoa; Chordata; Amphibia; Anura; Dicroglossidae. The record is from RNAcentral.
CCCGUGAGGACGCCCUUUACCCCUACCCCAGGCUUAGGAGCUGGUAUCAGGCGCAACUUUUACGCCCAUAACACCUAGUCCCACCACACCCCCAAGGGUACUCAGCAGUGAUAAACAUUGUCUAUAAGCGCCAGCUUGACCCAGUUAUAAAGAAGAGGGCCGGCCAACUUGGUGCCAGCCGCCGCGGCUAGACCAACUGGACUCAAAUUGAUAAUUCCCGGCGUUAAGCGUGAUUAAAGCCACAUACCAAUUAGAGUUAAACCUAUGUUGAGCAGUGAAAAGCACACGAUAGGGAAACCCAGAAACGAAAGUUACUCUAAUCUCUGCUUGAAUACACGACAGCUAGAAAACAAACUGGGAUU